This 367-nucleotide ribosomal RNA is filed under the name uncultured eukaryote. Its description in RNAcentral is "partial 18S ribosomal RNA". It matches the Rfam family "Eukaryotic small subunit ribosomal RNA", at positions 592 to 976 of the family's 1831-position model. The record is from RNAcentral.
CAAUAGCGUAUAUUAUUGAUGUUGCAGUUGAAACGUUCGUAGUCGAACUUUGCCUGCUAAAGUAUCAAGUUAUUGAUGAUGAGUUGGUACUCUCCGCGGAGAUUAUGCAAGAGAGAGCAUGUGCUUCAUAUGUUCUGCUGUUUGCAUUUUACUUUGAGUGAAUCGGCGUGUUCCACGCAGGCGAGUGCCUUGAACGAUUUACCAUAGCAUAAGCAAAGUAUGGAAAUGCUUCCUUGCUUGUUCGGAAGCUUUUUCAAUACAAAUAGGAACGGUUGAGGGCAUUCGUAUUCGACUGCUAGAGGUGAAAUUCUUUGAUUAGUCGAGGACGGACAAUUGCGAAAGCAUCUGCCAAGGACGUUUCCUUUGA